AUUGGUCUAUCUCUUGAAAAUCUAGCCAAUGAAUCGAACGGUUUUCUCGAUUCAAACACCAUUUCAGUUCAAGAUAACGCUAUUUGCCAGAAUAUCUCAUGGAUAUCUCCUCGCUUUGAAAAAGUCGAAUUUCCGGUUGGUGAAAACGGAACAUGGGCAAAUUCAACAGGAAUGUGUCCAUUCAACACUACUCAAGUCAAUGAACCGAUUGGACGGGCUCAGUGUAUCGGCGAUGGUAUUACCCAGAGCCAGUGG
This is a long non-coding RNA of Strongylocentrotus purpuratus (purple sea urchin), 255 nucleotides long. RefSeq lists it as uncharacterized. The record is from RefSeq and is a predicted model, not a curated record. The transcript is spliced from 3 exons. Lineage: Eukaryota; Metazoa; Echinodermata; Echinoidea; Camarodonta; Strongylocentrotidae.